RNAcentral lists this ribosomal RNA (587 nucleotides) under uncultured bacterium. RNAcentral describes it as "bacterial SSU rRNA". It matches the Rfam family "Bacterial small subunit ribosomal RNA", at positions 338 to 916 of the family's 1533-position model. The record is from RNAcentral.
CCUACGGGAGGCAGCAGUGGGGAAUAUUGCGCAAUGGGGGAAACCCUGACGCAGCAACGCCGCGUGAGUGAGGAAGGACUUCGGUCUGUAAAGCUCUGUUAAUGAGGAAAAAUGGUAGUUGGUCUAAUAGGCCGAUUAUUUGAUGGUACUCAUAGAGGAAGCACCGGCUAACUUCGUGCCAGCAGCCGCGGUAAUACGAAGGGUGCAAGCGUUGUUCGGAUUUAUUGGGCGUAAAGCGCGCGUAGGCGGACCUGCAAGUAAGAUGUGAAAUCUCGAGGCUCAACCUCGAAACUGCGUCUUAAACUACAGGUCUAGAAUCUCGGAGGGGGAAGGGGAAUUUCGCAUGUAGGGGUAAAAUCCGUAGAUAUGCGAAGGAACACCAGAGGCGAAGGCGCCUUCCUGGACGAGUAUUGACGCUGAGGCGCGAAAGCGUGGGGAUCAAACAGGAUUAGAUACCCUGGUAGUCCACGCUGUAAACGAUGAACACUAGGUAUUGGAGGAUUUGACCCCUUCAGUGCCGUAGCUAACGCGUUAAGUGUUCCGCCUGGGAAGUACGGUCGCAAGCUAAAACUCAAAUGAAUUGACGG